UCCGUAGGUGAACCUGCGGAAGGAUCAUUACUGAAAUGUAAUAACUUCUAUUGAAAGGUUCCAGAGUAGGCGCUACAACGCCGAAAUGACCUUCUCACCCUUGUGUACUCACUAUGUUGCUUUGGCGGGUCGACCUGGUUCCGACCCAGGCGGCCGGCGCCCCCAGCCUUAACUGGCCAGGACGCCCGGCUAAGUGCCCGCCAGUAUACAAAACUCAAGAAUUCAUUUUGUGAAGUCCUGAUAUAUCAUUUAAUUGAUUAAAACUUUCAACAACGGAUCUCUUGGUUCUGGCAUCGAUGAAGAACGCAGCGAAAUGCGAUAAGUAAUGUGAAUUGCAGAAUUCAGUGAAUCAUCGAAUCUUUGAACGCACAUUGCGCCCUCUGGUAUUCCGGAGGGCAUGCCUGUUCGAGCGUCAUUUCAACCCUCAAGCUCUGCUUGGUAUUGGGCAACGUCCGCUGCCGGACGGGCCUUGAAGACCUCGGCGACGGCGUCCUAGCCUCGAGCGUAGUAGUAAAAUAUCUCGCUUUGGAGUGCUGGGCGACGGCCGCCGGACAAUCGACCUUCGGUCUAUUUUUCCAAGGUUGACCUCGGAUCAGGUAGGGAUACCCGCUGAACUUAAGCAUAUCAAUAAGCGGGAGG
This 639-nucleotide ribosomal RNA is filed under the name Guignardia sp. EF11F02. RNAcentral's name for it is "eukaryotic LSU rRNA". The stretch from base 262 to 415 matches the Rfam family "5.8S ribosomal RNA". The record is from RNAcentral. Lineage: Eukaryota; Fungi; Ascomycota; Dothideomycetes; Botryosphaeriales; Phyllostictaceae.